Molecule: ribosomal RNA, 1676 nt
Filed under: Salmonella enterica
Lineage: Bacteria; Pseudomonadati; Pseudomonadota; Gammaproteobacteria; Enterobacterales; Enterobacteriaceae
Also listed under: 5 other names
Description: partial 23S ribosomal RNA
Rfam family: Bacterial large subunit ribosomal RNA
Source: RNAcentral
UGCUGGAGGUAUCAGAAGUGCGAAUGCUGACAUAAGUAACGAUAAAGCGGGUGAAAAGCCCGCUCGCCGGAAGACCAAGGGUUCCUGUCCAACGUUAAUCGGGGCAGGGUGAGUCGACCCCUAAGGCGAGGCCGAAAGGCGUAGUCGAUGGGAAACGGGUUAAUAUUCCCGUACUUGGUGUUACUGCGAAGGGGGGACGGAGAAGGCUAUGUUGGCCGGGCGACGGUUGUCCCGGUUUAAGCGUGUAGGUGUGUGUUCCAGGUAAAUCCGGUUCACUUUAACACUGAGGCGUGACGACGAGGCACUACGGUGCUGAAGCAACAAAUGCCCUGCUUCCAGGAAAAGCCUCUAAGCAUCAGGUAACACGAAAUCGUACCCCAAACCGACACAGGUGGUCAGGUAGAGAAUACCAAGGCGCUUGAGAGAACUCGGGUGAAGGAACUAGGCAAAAUGGUGCCGUAACUUCGGGAGAAGGCACGCUGACACGUAGGUGAAGUGAUUUACUCACGGAGCUGAAGUCAGUCGAAGAUACCAGCUGGCUGCAACUGUUUAUUAAAAACACAGCACUGUGCAAACACGAAAGUGGACGUAUACGGUGUGACGCCUGCCCGGUGCCGGAAGGUUAAUUGAUGGGGUCAGCGCAAGCGAAGCUCCUGAUCGAAGCCCCGGUAAACGGCGGCCGUAACUAUAACGGUCCUAAGGUAGCGAAAUUCCUUGUCGGGUAAGUUCCGACCUGCACGAAUGGCGUAAUGAUGGCCAGGCUGUCUCCACCCGAGACUCAGUGAAAUUGAACUCGCUGUGAAGAUGCAGUGUACCCGCGGCAAGACGGAAAGACCCCGUGAACCUUUACUAUAGCUUGACACUGAACAUUGAGCCUUGAUGUGUAGGAUAGGUGGGAGGCUUUGAAGUGUGGACGCCAGUCUGCAUGGAGCCGACCUUGAAAUACCACCCUUUAAUGUUUGAUGUUCUAACGUGGACCCGUAAUCCGGGUUGCGGACAGUGUCUGGUGGGUAGUUUGACUGGGGCGGUCUCCUCCUAAAGAGUAACGGAGGAGCACGAAGGUUGGCUAAUCCUGGUCGGACAUCAGGAGGUUAGUGCAAUGGCAUAAGCCAGCUUGACUGCGAGCGUGACGGCGCGAGCAGGUGCGAAAGCAGGUCAUAGUGAUCCGGUGGUUCUGAAUGGAAGGGCCAUCGCUCAACGGAUAAAAGGUACUCCGGGGAUAACAGGCUGAUACCGCCCAAGAGUUCAUAUCGACGGCGGUGUUUGGCACCUCGAUGUCGGCUCAUCACAUCCUGGGGCUGAAGUAGGUCCCAAGGGUAUGGCUGUUCGCCAUUUAAAGUGGUACGCGAGCUGGGUUUAGAACGUCGUGAGACAGUUCGGUCCCUAUCUGCCGUGGGCGCUGGAGAACUGAGGGGGGCUGCUCCUAGUACGAGAGGACCGGAGUGGACGCAUCACUGGUGUUCGGGUUGUCAUGCCAAUGGCACUGCCCGGUAGCUAAAUGCGGAAGAGAUAAGUGCUGAAAGCAUCUAAGCACGAAACUUGCCCCGAGAUGAGUUCUCCCUGAGACUUAGAGUCUCCUGAAGGAACGUUGAAGACGACGACGUUGAUAGGCCGGGUGUGUAAGCGCAGCGAUGCGUUGAGCUAACCGGUACUAAUGAACCGUGAGGCUUAACCUU